RNAcentral lists this ribosomal RNA (497 nucleotides) under uncultured bacterium. RNAcentral's name for it is "partial 16S ribosomal RNA". It matches the Rfam family "Bacterial small subunit ribosomal RNA", at positions 28 to 507 of the family's 1533-position model. The record is from RNAcentral.
GAUGGACGCUGGCGGCGUGCCUAAUACAUGCAAGUCGAGCGAACAGACGAGGAGCUUGCUCCUCUGACGUUAGCGGCGGACGGGUGAGUAACACGUGGAUAACCUACCUAUAAGACUGGGAUAACUUCGGGAAACCGGAGCUAAUACCGGAUAAUAUAUUGAACCGCAUGGUUCAAUAGUGAAAGACGGUUUUGCUGUCACUUAUAGAUGGAUCCGCGCCGCAUUAGCUAGUUGGUAAGGUAACGGCUUACCAAGGCGACGAUGCGUAGCCGACCUGAGAGGGUGAUCGGCCACACUGGAACUGAGACACGGUCCAGACUCCUACAGGAGGCAGCAGUAGGGAAUCUUCCGCAAUGGGCGAAAGCCUGACGGAGCAACGCCGCGUGAGUGAUGAAGGUCUUCGGAUCGUAAAACUCUGUUAUUAGGGAAGAACAAAUGUGUAAGUAACUAUGCACGUCUUGACGGUACCUAAUCAGAAAGCCACGGCUAACUACGUG